Molecule: ribosomal RNA, 497 nt
Filed under: uncultured bacterium
Lineage: Bacteria
Description: partial 16S ribosomal RNA
Rfam family: Bacterial small subunit ribosomal RNA
Source: RNAcentral
GAUGAACGCUGGCGGCGUGCCUAAUACAUGCAAGUCGAGCGAACAGACGAGGAGCUUGCUCCUCUGACGUUAGCGGCGGACGGGUGAGUAACACGUGGAUAACCUACCUAUAAGACUGGGAUAACUUCGGGAAACCGGAGCUAAUACCGGAUAAUAUAUUGAACCGCAUGGUUCAAUAGUGAAAGACGGUUUUGCUGUCACUUAUAGAUGGAUCCGCGCCGCAUUAGCUAGUUGGUAAGGUAACGGCUUACCAAGGCAACGAUGCGUAGCCGACCUGAGAGGGUGGUCCGGCACACUGGAACUGAGACACGGUCCCGACUCCUACGGGAGGCAGCAGUAGGGAAUCUUCCGCAAUGGGCGGAAGCCUUACGGAGCAACGCCGCGUGAGUGAUGAAGGUCUUCGGAUCCUAAAACUCUGUUAUUAGGGAAGAACAAAUGUGUAAGUAACUAUGCACGUCUUGACGGUACCUAAUCAGAAAGCCACGGCUAACUACGUG